CCUACGGGUUGCACCAGUGGGGAAUAUUGCACAAUGGGCGCAAGCCUGAUGCAGCCAUGCCGCGUGUGUGAAGAAGGCCUUCGGGUUGUAAAGCACUUUCAGCGAGGAGGAAGGUGGUGAGCUUAAUACGCUCAUCAAUUGACGCUACUCGCAGAAGAAGCACCGGCUAACUCCGUGCCAGCAGCCGCGGUAAUACAGAGGGUGCAAGCGUUAAUCGGAAUUACUGGGCGUAAAGCGCACGCAGGCGGUCUGUCAAGUCGGAUGUGAAAUCCCCGGGCUCAACCUGGGAACUGCAUUCGAAACUGGCAGGCUAGAGUCUUGUAGAGGGGGGUAGAAUUCCAGGUGUAGCGGUGAAAUGCGUAGAGAUCUGGAGGAAUACCGGUGGCGAAGGCGGCCCCCUGGACAAAGACUGACGCUCAGGUGCGAAAGCGUGGGGAGCAAACAGGAUUAGAUACCCGUGUAGUC
This 465-nucleotide ribosomal RNA is filed under the name uncultured bacterium. RNAcentral describes it as "bacterial SSU rRNA". It matches the Rfam family "Bacterial small subunit ribosomal RNA", at positions 338 to 795 of the family's 1533-position model. The record is from RNAcentral.